This 301-nucleotide ribosomal RNA is filed under the name uncultured bacterium. Its description in RNAcentral is "partial 16S ribosomal RNA". It matches the Rfam family "Bacterial small subunit ribosomal RNA", at positions 509 to 807 of the family's 1533-position model. The record is from RNAcentral.
CAGUCGCCGCGGGAAUACGUAGGGUGCAAGCGUUAAUCGGAAUUACUGGGCGUAAAGCGUGCGCAGGCGGUUCGCUAAGACAGAUGUGAAAUCCCCGGGCUUAACCUGGGAACUGCAUUUGUGACUGGCGGGCUAGAGUAUGGCAGAGGGGGGUAGAAUUCCACGUGUAGCAGUGAAAUGCGUAGAGAUGUGGAGGAAUACCGAUGGCGAAGGCAGCCCCCUGGGCCAAUACUGACGCUCAUGCACGAGAGCGUGGGGAGCAAACAGGAUUAGAGACCCCUGUAGUCCCUGUCUCUUAUAC